Molecule: transfer RNA, 69 nt
Filed under: Aphanotorulus emarginatus
Lineage: Eukaryota; Metazoa; Chordata; Actinopteri; Siluriformes; Loricariidae
Description: tRNA-Glu
Rfam family: tRNA
About the family: Transfer RNA (tRNA) molecules are approximately 80 nucleotides in length. Their secondary structure includes four short double-helical elements and three loops (D, anti-codon, and T loops).
Source: RNAcentral
GUUCCUGUAGUUAAAAAAUAACGAUGGGUUUUCAAGCCAUUAGUCUCGGUUAGAUUCCGAGCAGGAAUU